UGCCACAGCUAUAUCACCCUGCAGCGCAAGACUGGCAACUAACUGAAGCUAAGCAGGGCUGAGCCUGGUCAAUACCUGGAUGGGUGACCCGAUGGGAAAGUUAGGUUGCUGUUGGAA
Ribosomal RNA from Danio rerio (zebrafish), 117 nucleotides. NCBI's taxonomy places the organism in Eukaryota, Metazoa, Chordata, Actinopteri, Cypriniformes, Danionidae. The record is from Ensembl.